CUGCUGGCGGGCCGGCGGGCGACGACCCACUGGGGCUGGCUCGGCGAGCUGGCCCGGUUCGGCGUCGAGCCGGUGGCC
RNAcentral lists this transfer RNA (78 nucleotides) under Sphaerisporangium rufum. RNAcentral's name for it is "tRNA-Pro". Lineage: Bacteria; Bacillati; Actinomycetota; Actinomycetes; Streptosporangiales; Streptosporangiaceae. The record is from RNAcentral.